GCUGUUAAGAUAGCCAAGGCACGUCUAAGUACAAACUAAAUGAUGGUGAAACUGCAAAUGGGCUCAUUACAACGGUUAUGAUGUACCCGGGAGUUCCGAUGGAUAUUUCCAGUAACACUAGAACUAAUACAUGUCCCUGCGUUUAUUAGUUUCGCACAGUCCGUCGCUGAGUCAUGGUAAACAGUUGAUCGACUCGACGUCCCGGAACAGUUUCCGCCCCAUCAGCUUCGAUGGUUGGGUAUUGGCCUACCAUUGCAACAACGGGUAACGAGGAAUUAGGGUUUGAUUUCGGAGAGGGAGCCUGAGAAACGGCUACCACAUCUACGGAUGGCAGCAGGCGCGCAAAUUACCCAAUGCAGACACUGUGAGGUAGUGACGAGAAAUAAUAAAGCGGGACUUCUGUUUCGCUAUUAUAAUGAGGAAUAACAAAGGUCAUUUCCGAUUAGCAACUGAUGGGAAAGUCCUGGGUGCAGCAGCCGGCGGUAAUACCAGCCGUCAGU
Molecule: ribosomal RNA, 500 nt
Filed under: uncultured Myrionecta
Lineage: Eukaryota; Ciliophora; Litostomatea; Cyclotrichida; Mesodiniidae
Description: bacterial SSU rRNA
Rfam family: Eukaryotic small subunit ribosomal RNA
Source: RNAcentral